This 2159-nucleotide long non-coding RNA is filed under the name Penaeus chinensis. Its description in RNAcentral is "uncharacterized LOC125040935". Lineage: Eukaryota; Metazoa; Arthropoda; Malacostraca; Decapoda; Penaeidae. The record is from RNAcentral.
UGAAAUCAAGAAUGACCAUCAAGUACGAAAAUUAGUCAUUUGGCAACUCAGAGUAAAACGGUACAUAAAGACCCGCAGGAGAGUUUGCUAACACUAGUGUGGGUCAGGAAGUCACACUGCACCUACGAGAUGAAGAAUCCAAUUGUUCUUUUCUUCUUCGCGGUUUUCGCGAUGCUGAACUCCGCUUUGCCUCUCGAGUAUGCCUACGGCGGUCACAAAUAUAACGGCUGAGGGCACAGUUUCACCCUUGACAACUCCUGAAGCUUGAAAUGACGCUCAUGUGCAAAUUUUUUGUCCAAAAUUGGAGUAUGUCUAAUGGAAAUAUACUGGUAUAAUCAUAUCCUUUCAUUUGUUUUUCUUUUAAACCAAAUAUUCAAGAAUAAGAGAUGUUUAAAAUCAGCCUGGUUUACAGUAUUGCAAUAUUGCUUUUAUCUUAGUGUUAUGCAUAUGAAUGUUUGAAUACAUAUAUAUAAGCAUAUAUAUAUACUUAGACGCAUAAUGUCGAAAAUAUAAGCCUCGGGUUUGUACAGUGGUAACGUGCCGGCCUCUCAUCCGAGGGGUCGGCAGUUCGCGCCCCGCCCAGGCACGAGAAGUAGCAAUUGUCGCCUGGAAGUUACUACUGUGGCUAGGCACCACUGCGGGUAAGGACUAAGCCGAGUCAGCACCAGCUGAUACACGUUAGCGAGUCGACAUUAGUCGACACAGGCCGGGCUCCACUUAUUGGCAUAGCCCGGGCGAAGCUCAGCUUCGCAUAUCGGACUUAUCCUUAUGUCGAAACUAUGAAAAUGACACGGUCUUAAAAAUAGAGAAUAUAUAGGAGUAAAAUGACCAUCAGAGGUCUCAGUGGCUUGCAAUUUGCAUAUCAGAUCUUCAUAUAUUUGCAACAAUUCUCUUCGUCCUGUCAUUAUAAUCAACUCGCCAAUUUCUAGCUCCUCGGUAUUGUUCAUGUAUUGUAAUAGCUGCGUUACAGCAGAAACUUGAUAAUAUAUGUGUGUAUGUAUAUGUAUAGACAUACACACAUAUCUGUCUAUAUGUGUAUAUAUAUGUAUAUGAAUAUAAAUACAAAUAUUUAUUUUUCUUUUUCAUAGACAAAUCAGUAUGCAUACACAUUUACUUGUAUCGUCGAUUGCUAUUGUGAAUUUUGCAUUGCAAUGGCAAACUGUGAAUCAAUGGAAAAAAUUAAGGAACCCAUAAUCACUUUUUUUUUAUUGAGACUUGAUCAUGUUUGGAAAAGAGAAUCUCUUCUAGGAAGGUACAGAGGUUCAGGUGGUAAGUCUUGUCAUAGGUGUUUACUACAGCGGACAAGGACAGGGUUCCCUGAAGCACGCGCAUGGAAUACUGCCUAAAGGGUAAACAAGAAAGAUAUGCCGUUAUCAUGUGCACGGUACAUAUAAGACACGUGUCCCCACUCCCAUUUCUUCUGCCCCAUUAUUUUGCGGCAAAUCUUUUCAUUGAAAGGAUCCGGUUGAAAUGUUGAACACGUAUAUAUACACACAUACACAUACAUAUUUGUGCAUAUAUAUCUAUAUCUAUCAAUAUGUCUAGUUUCUCGUCCCUCUCGUGUCCAUCAGAGCCAACCGUCUCAGUCUUAAAUCUGCCACAGUUAAACUUUUCUCGGUUUUAAACACGUGUCCGAGAACAAUAGCCGUUAAUCUGCGCAGAUAUGACUGUACCAACACAUGCGCUAACCCCAUUCCGACGGUUUCAUAUCAGACACUGACGUAUUCAUGAAUAUGACAAAUAUUUAGGAACUGGAGCGUGUGUUUGCUCAGAAACAAGAGGAAGUCAAAAUAACUGAUGGAUUGGCGCCUUUCCAGCCCCCCCCCCCCAAAAAAAAAAAAAAAAAAAAUUGUCAUUUGGCAACCCAGAGUAAGACAUGGUACAUAAAAUCCCACAGGAGAGUUUGCUAACACUAGUGUGGGUCAGGAAGUCACACUGCACCUCCGAGAUGAAGAAUCCAAUUGUUCUUUUCUUCUUCGCGGUUUUCGCGAUGCUGAACUCCGCUUUGCCUCUCGAGUAUGCCUACGGCGGUCACAAAUAUAACGGCUGAGGGCACAGUUUCACCCUUGACAACUCCUGAAGCUUGAAAUGACGCUCAUGUGCAAAAUUUUUGUCCAAAAUUUGAGUAUGUCUAAUGGAAAUAUACUGGUAUAAUCAUA